AUUUUCCUAAACUUGGAAGUUUUCGGAGCGCUCAUGGUGUCUGGAGCUGUGCAGAGGAGACGCGAGGAAAAGCGCGCUGCCUUCGAGCAAACGUCGACUCCUUGAUUGAUUACGAACAAACAGCAAGAAAAGUGAAUCGAACCAGAAGUCCAGGGGGUGGAACUAGAUCUGAUCCAACUCCUAAACACACACAACACUACAAUAAACCACACACCAAACCUGACUUUGAAUUUAUCUACAGCAUCUAAAUGAUUAGACAUUAAAAAAAUGUAUUUUCCAGCUUUGUCAGGUAUAAAUAAAUAUAGCACUCUUAAUUCUGCA
Molecule: long non-coding RNA, 321 nt
Organism: Tachysurus fulvidraco (yellow catfish)
Lineage: Eukaryota; Metazoa; Chordata; Actinopteri; Siluriformes; Bagridae
Exons: 2
Source: RefSeq, a predicted model, not a curated record